GUGCUUGCUUCGGCAGCACAUAUACUAAAAUUAGAACGAUACAGAGAAGAUUAGCAUGGCCCCUGAGCAGGGAUGACAUGCAAAUUCACAAAGCAUUCCAUAUUUUU
Myotis lucifugus (little brown bat) is the source of this 107-nucleotide small nuclear RNA. The record is from Ensembl. Lineage: Eukaryota; Metazoa; Chordata; Mammalia; Chiroptera; Vespertilionidae.